ACAAGUGAAUAAGUGCACAUGGUGGAUGCCUUGGCGAUAUCAGGCGAUGAAGGACGUAGUAGCUUGCGAUAAGCUGCGGGGAGCUGGCAAACGAGCUUUGAUCCGCAGAUUUCCGAAUGGGGAAACCCGGCCUUUUAGGUCAUCACAUACUGAAUACAUAGGUAUGUGAAGCGAACGCGGCGAACUGAAACAUCUAAGUAGCUGCAGGAAAAGAAAUCAACCGAGAUUCCCAAAGUAGUGGCGAGCGAAAUGGGAACAGCCUGCAAGAUUUAGCAUUAUUGAUAGCAGAACGCUCUGGAAAGUGCGGCCAUAGAGGGUGAUAGCCCCUUAUGCGAAAUCAGUAGUGUGGAACUAGGCUUGCGACAAGUAGGGCGGGACACGUGAAAUCCUGUCUGAACAUGGGGGGACCAUCCUCCAAGGCUAAAUACUCGAUAUCGACCGAUAGUGAACCAGUACCGUGAGGGAAAGGCGAAAAGAACCCCGGGAGGGGAGUGAAAUAGAACCUGAAACCGUGUGCAUACAAACAGUAGGAGCCUCCUUGUGGGGUGACUGCGUACCUUUUGUAUAAUGGGUCAGCGACUUACAUUCAGUGGCAAGGUUAACCGUAUAGGGAAGCCGUAGAGAAAUCGAGUCCGAAUAGGGCGUUCAGUCGCUGGGUGUAGACCCGAAACCAAGUGAUCUACUCAUGGCCAGGUUGAAGGUGCGGUAACACGCACUGGAGGACCGAACCCACUAAUGUUGAAAAAUUAGGGGAUGAGCUGUGGGUAGGGGUGAAAGGCUAAACAAACUUGGAAAUAGCUGGUUCUCUCCGAAAACUAUUUAGGUAGUGCCUCAAGUAUCACCAUCGGGGGUAGAGCACUGUUAUGGCUAGGGGGUCAUCGCGACUUACCAAACCAUUGCAAACUCCGAAUACCGAUGAGUGCGAGCUUGGGAGACAGACGUCGGGUGCUAACGUCCGGCGUCAAGAGGGAAACAACCCAGACCGCCAGCUAAGGUCCCAAAGAUUGGCUAAGUGGAAAACGAAGUGGGAAGGCUAAAACAGUCAGGAGGUUGGCUUAGAAGCAGCCAUCCUUUAAAGAAAGCGUAAUAGCUCACUGAUCGAGUCGUCCUGCGCGGAAGAUGUAACGGGGCUAAGCCAGUCACCGAAGCUGCGGAUAUGCAUUUAUGCAUAUGGUAGGAGAGCGUUCUGUAAGCCUGCGAAGGUGUCUUGUAAAGGAUGCUGGAGGUAUCAGAAGUGCGAAUGCUGACAUGAGUAGCGAUAAUGGGGGUGAAAAGCCUCCACGCCGUAAGCCCAAGGUUUCCUGUUCAACGUUCAUCGGAGCAGGGUGAGUCGGCCCCUAAGGCGAGGCAGAGAUGCGUAGCUGAUGGGAAGCAGGUUAAUAUUCCUGCACCGUCGUUAGAUGCGAUGGGGGGACGGAUCGCGGAAGGUUGUCCGGGUGUUGGAUGUCCCGGUUCAUGUAUCGAAGAAGGCUGUUAGGCAAAUCCGGCAGCGCAAUUCAAGGGUAUGUGACGAGUGGCCUUGUGCCGCGAAGCAAUUGGAAGUGGUUCCAAGAAAAGCCUCUAAGCUUCAGUCUAACGAGACCGUACCGCAAACCGACACAGGUGGGCGAGAUGAGUAUUCUAAGGCGCUUGAGAGAACUCGGGAGAAGGAACUCGGCAAAUUGGUACCGUAACUUCGGGAUAAGGUACGCCCUUGUAGUUUGACUGGCCUGCGCCAGAAGGACGAAGGGGUUGCAAUAAAUUGGUGGCUGCGACUGUUUAAUAAAAACACAGCACUCUGCAAACACGAAAGUGGACGUAUAGGGUGUGACUCCUGCCCGGUGCUGGAAGAUUAAAUGAUGGGGUGCAAGCUCUUGAUUGAAGUCCCAGUAAACGGCGGCCGUAACUAUAACGGUCCUAAGGUAGCGAAAUUCCUUGUCGGGUAAGUUCCGACCUGCACGAAUGG
RNAcentral lists this ribosomal RNA (1945 nucleotides) under soil metagenome. Its description in RNAcentral is "bacterial LSU rRNA". It matches the Rfam family "Bacterial large subunit ribosomal RNA", at positions 1 to 1999 of the family's 2925-position model. The record is from RNAcentral.